Bos taurus (domestic cattle) is the source of this 52-nucleotide non-coding RNA. The record is from Rfam. NCBI's taxonomy places the organism in Eukaryota, Metazoa, Chordata, Mammalia, Artiodactyla, Bovidae.
UUAUAAAUAUAAGUAUAUCCCAUGCAAUAUUUGGGACAUGUUUAUAUUAAAA